CUCACUGCCCACCCGGAGCGGAGCGCCCAGCUCAAGGGCGGAGCCGCGCAGCCGCGCUAGGGAACCGCGCGCAGGUUCAACAGACCGUGGACAACUGCUCCUCGCCUUCCCCGCAGCGCUGUGGUCUUCUGCGCCCGAACAGGGGCAACGGGACCUGCGUCACUGGCUACCUGGGCUGGGGACAGGGCUGGGUAGAGCCUGACAUUUCGGAAUGUCAGGGCUCAGGGAGCCAGACUCUCAAUCCGAGUGUCCAUAACUCACCUGUAGCCCAUUAAUGACGCUUCGGCCUUUCCUCUGACCAGCUCUUCUGGGUUCUGAAGCCUACCACUGGUCUACCCCACUAAGCCUCCACAGCCAUCUUAAACAGGAAUUUCCAGAAGGCAUUCAGGACUUUGGGUUUGCUGGAGGAAAAGACUUUCUCCCUUGGACCAGAAAAUUCUAAAAGGUUCAUUCAUUUUGUGUCAGUAGACUCGAGCUGCAGCAUCUGCUCUUUCCUGGGUCCCCAGAGAUUUGGACUUGCCAGCCUUCACAAUCAGCAAAAGCCAUGGAUCACGCAGCUAAGUGGAAAACACCACUACUGAAGCACCCAUAUCCCAAGCUCUUUCCGCUCUUGAUGCUAGCUAGUCUUUUUUACUUCUGUUCAGGUAUCAUCCAGGUGAACAAGACAGUGGAAGAAGUAGCAGUACUAUCCUGUGAUUACAACAUUUCCACCAAAGAACUGACGGAAAUUCGAAUCUAUUGGCAAAAGGAUGAUGAAAUGGUGUUGGCUGUCAUGUCUGGCAAAGUACAAGUGUGGCCCAAGUACAAGAACCGCACAUUCACUGACGUCACCGAUAACCACUCCAUUGUGAUCAUGGCUCUGCGCCUGUCAGACAAUGGCAAAUACACCUGUAUCAUUCAAAAGAUUGAAAAAGGGUCUUACAAAGUGAAACACCUGACUUCAGUGAUGUUAUUGGUCAGAGCUGACUUCCCUGUCCCUAGUAUAACUGAUCUUGGAAAUCCAUCUCAUAACAUCAAAAGGAUAAUGUGCUUAACUUCUGGAGGUUUUCCAAAGCCUCACCUCUCCUGGUUGGAAAAUGAAGAAGAAUUAAAUGCCAUCAACACAACAGUUUCCCAAGAUCCUGAAACUGAGCUCUACACUAUUAGCAGUGAACUGGAUUUCAAUAUGACAAACAACCAUAGCUUCCUGUGUCUUAUCAAGUAUGGAAACUUAAUAGUAUCACAGAUCUUCAACUGGCAAAAAUCAGAGCCACAGCCUUCUAAUAAUCAGCUCUGGAUCAUUAUCCUGAGCUCAGUAGUAAGUGGGAUUGUUGUGAUCACUGCACUUACCUUAAGAUGCCUAGUCCACAGUAAGUACUAUCGUACUAUCAUUCUGACCUUGAUUCCUGGAAGCCCAAACUCCAUCAGUAUGGGUCAGCGUCUCUCUGAGGUUUUAGCCUCGGUUAUAGCCUCCUCCCGUUUUAUGGAAACUUUAGUGUCUCAUUUAUGUGUCUCACCAAGUUCUGUUCAUCCACUGGACAGACGUUUCUCGGACACCUACUAUGUGCCCCGUUCUCUACUAGGCACUGGAGUUACAAGUAUGAGCAAUCACUCCCCUCAAGACACAUUCUAGUUUAGUCCUUUUAUUUCCCCCCCUAACUUUAUAUUUUCUUGGAGAUGCUGAGGCCUGCUAACUAAUUUGAAGACAUUUCUGAUGCAAAGUGAUAUUCUAAUCUUUGAUUUUCAAUUGGAGAAAGUCAGAAUGCCAAGGUUUGGGGCUAAGACUCAUCCCACAGGUAGGAUAAAAAGGUCUGGUGGGCUCAAGGAUGAUUUUGAUACAGACUGCCCAGCCUUACCCCUCUAGUUCAGGAUUUCCCAUUCUUAAUACUACUGACAUUUGGGGCCAGAUAAUUCUUUGUUUUAGGGUUCUGUUCUGUGCAUUGUAGCAUAUUUAGCAGCAUCUCUAGGCUCUACUCACUAUAUGCCAGUAGCAUCCCUGCCCCAGUUGUGACAACCAAAAAUGUCCCUAUUACAUUACAAAUGUUCCAGGGAAGGUGUGGGGGGAGGGGGUGGUUAGAAAUCUCCCUGGUUUAAGAACCACUGACCUAGUUCUAACCCAGCAAAGGCUUGCUGAGAUAUAUGGGCACCAUUUAAGGGAAACUAACCUAUCUAAAUCUUUAUUGUUUGUGCUUGUUUUCAAGGACCUGCUGCAAGGUGGAGACAAAGAGAAAUGGGGAGAGUGUGGAAAUGGAAAAGAUCUCACCUGUCUACAUAGAUUCUGCAGAACCACUGUAUGAGCAGAGCAUCUAGAGGUCCCACCUCCAUCUUAGAUUGACCUCUUUGAAUUUCCUCAGAUGGCCAGGAUUAUCCCACCUUGUACUUCAUGUAUCUGUUUCCUAGGAGCCUCUUCAUUUCAGUGGCUCUGCAGAAAGUGACUAGUGGAAUACAGUGGGAACAUUAGUAGCUCUGGUAGGCUUGGUCAAAGAAUUUAGAAACACAGAAUUGGUUGAGCCUGGAAGAGACAUUUGAAAAUACUUGUUAAUGACAAGGACAUCAAGGCCCAGGAGGUGACCUGAAUGAUCAAGGCCAGAGCCAGAACCCAGAUUUCCUGUGUCUGGUGCUCUUUUCCAUCAUCAGUCUGGGUCUGUGGUAUUAACUGGUGUAUAUAUACAUACACACCAGUCACAACGUUUCUGGAAAAAGAAUUUGUCCAAUGUCAGGCCAACUUUAUGGACUUGAUCUGAUGCAACACUGAAGGACUUUAUGUUGUAAAAAGCAAUCUGAUGCUAAUGUGUGGGUAGUAUGCUGGUAUGUAUACCAAUAUGAGGAUGAUGGAACAUUGUCUAUGUGUAGCCAGUAUUUCAUUUUUCUUUGUGCUCUCCUCUGUUGCUCUCCCACUUCUCUAUCAGGUUCUGGAGAAAGACCUAUCCAAAACUAAUAUCCUCUAACAUGUAAGAUGAAUGACUUAUACACUUCAAAACAAUAGCCAGGUUGGAGAGGGAUAGUCACAUCCUACUGGUUCAUAUUGGACUGAUAAUCUCCUUAAAUGGCUUCAUGUUGUUUAACCUCAUUUAUAAAAUAUUUAUGAGAAAGUUCUCAUUUAAAAUGAGAUAGGUUUUUAUUGUGUAUUACUAAACAGUAAGCUAUCUUUAGAAAUUGAGGUAAUGAAAGUAGCAUUCCAUAGGGCUUCCUCAGAUCACUGAAGUGGCUUUUCCUCCUUGGCAUUUCUGAUCCUUCUGAGAUCAGCAGAGAAUUGAAAAGUGGCAAACUGCUACUCCUGUGUUACUUACUCAUGACUCCCCUUUCUCUGACGUUGCCUUCCACAACUCAGUGGACCAGGAAGUGGUCCUUGGUCCUAACUUAAGCUGGAGGAAUCAGAUAUUCUCAUUUGAAAAUUUGAAGUUGGAUAGCAAGUUGACCAAGUAUCUCAAAUAUGGCUAGAUUUAAAACAUUUAAUUUUGGUAGCUAUAAGAGGACUGAAUUAUGCUAUAUAGUCUAAGAAACAGAAGUACACUUUUAAAUGGUUGCUCUCAGAACAAAAUCAUGGAAGAAAUAAAAGUAGGAGACUGACAAAAACUUUAAGAAACAAAAAAAAGGGAGUUGCUGCAUUUGGUUAAGAUUAGUAAUCUUUAGACAUGAUCAAAAGGAGACCUCAAGAAGUAGUCACAAAACAGAAGACACCUAAAAGAGCUUAUUUAUAUUUAAAAUAAGUUAUAUUGUUACUUAUUACAUUUGAUAAAUGUGUCAGUACUAUUUUUUUCAAAAAGUGGUAUUUUACCUUCAUUCUGGUAUUUUUGUGAUAUUAAAAAAAUAUUUUAAAAACCAACCACUAGUUUUAUAAUUUCUAGUUGGGAGAAUUUAAUCUAUAUGUGUAUAUGAAUAAAGCAAUAAAGAGAUUAACUGCCAAUUUGUCAGCAAUUUAUGAAUAGGAUAAUUAAGAAAAACAGGUUUUACGGAAUGUGGUGAGAACAU
This is an RNA transcript of Prionailurus viverrinus (fishing cat), 3951 nucleotides long. It is a transcript of the gene named CD80 molecule, with no coding region annotated. The record is from RefSeq and is a predicted model, not a curated record. The transcript has 8 exons. NCBI's taxonomy places the organism in Eukaryota, Metazoa, Chordata, Mammalia, Carnivora, Felidae.